GGCUCUCGCAUCGAUGAAGAACGUAGCGAAAUGCGAUACUUGGUGUGAAUUGCAGAAUCCCGCGAAUCAUCGAGUUUUUGAACGCAAGUUGCGCCCGAAGCCAUUCGGCCGAGGGCACGUCUGCCUGGGUGUCACG
RNAcentral lists this ribosomal RNA (136 nucleotides) under Quercus fusiformis. Its description in RNAcentral is "partial 5.8S ribosomal RNA". It matches the Rfam family "5.8S ribosomal RNA", at positions 23 to 154 of the family's 154-position model. From Rfam's summary of the family: 5.8S ribosomal RNA (5.8S rRNA) is a component of the large subunit of the eukaryotic ribosome. It is transcribed by RNA polymerase I as part of the 45S precursor that also contains 18S and 28S rRNA. Lineage: Eukaryota; Viridiplantae; Streptophyta; Magnoliopsida; Fagales; Fagaceae. The record is from RNAcentral.